UACGUAGGGUGCGAGCGUUAAUCGGAAUUACUGGGCGUAAAGCGUGCGCAGGCGGUCUGUUAAGACCGAUGUGAAAUCCCCGGGCUUAACCUGGGAACUGCAUUGGUGACUGGCAGGCUUUGAGUGUGGCAGAGGGAGGUAGAAUUCCACGUGUAGCAGUGAAAUGCGUAGAGAUGUGGAGGAAUACCGAUGGCGAAGGCAGCCUCCUGGGCCAACACUGACG
This 223-nucleotide ribosomal RNA is filed under the name uncultured bacterium. RNAcentral's name for it is "partial 16S ribosomal RNA". It matches the Rfam family "Bacterial small subunit ribosomal RNA", at positions 524 to 745 of the family's 1533-position model. The record is from RNAcentral.